Molecule: long non-coding RNA, 2225 nt
Filed under: Brassica napus (rape)
Lineage: Eukaryota; Viridiplantae; Streptophyta; Magnoliopsida; Brassicales; Brassicaceae
Description: long non-coding RNA (BNAP_LNC009973)
Source: RNAcentral
AACUGGAAAAACUGAAAAGAGGCGCAGACUUGAGAGAGAACACAGACGCUCAUACAUCUGAAACUGUCUCGAAAUAAGGUAACCACGAUCAAACUCUUUAUUCUUGUUCUACUCUUUCAUUAUGCUAGGAUUGAUAAUUAGAUGAUUUUGGAAUCGAUUACAGAUUUGUGAUCUUCGUACCCUGGCUUAUGAAAACUGAUUAUAUCAAUGUAACCAUUGUUUUGAAUUCUUAUGAUUUGUUUUUUUGAAUUUUCGAUAAGUCUACUAUGGAUAUAACCAUUUACACCAAAACUACAAAAUAAUCUUUUCCCAUGAUUAACACAUGAAAUCUCAUUAGCUUUUUAAAAGGAGAAGAUUACUCAAAUAACACUAAUCUAUGUUAUUGAUCAAAAGUAUGUCGUUGAAAACCUGCGAUACAUGAUGACAGAUUUAUUAAUUUCUGGAAAAUUUAUUUCUUCCAGCAGAUUUAUCACGACAGACUUAUUUUCGUUGUAGACUUUUUACAAUAUCAAUCAAGGUUCAGGAAUUGUUUUUGACAUUUUUGAUUGUCAAAGAUAAAUCAGGAUAAAGCUUUUUACUUCACUCCAAGAUGCACUGGUUGAGGUAGAGUUAUAUAUUUGUGAUGUAAGAGGACAAGGAUAUGACAAUUGAUCUAAUAUGAAAGGAAAGAACAAAGGAGUUCAAAAAAAAGUAGUUAGAAAUUAAUCCAAAGGCAUUCUUCACACCAUGUGGUUGUCUUAAUCUCAGUUUUGUGCUAUGUGAUGUAGAAACUUCUUUUUCAAAAUUUGUGUCUUUUUUUUUUGAAAUUGUUCAAAGAAUAUAUUGCUUAUUUGCUUCUUCAACAAAGUGACAGUACAUAUUUACAAUCAUGGUUAAGGGAUUAACCCUAAAUCUUUGUCCAGAUAAGUUGGAAAAUUCAUGUUAAAAGUGUCAAAGCAACACGAUUUCAAGCCUCAGAAAUCAGAGAAGCAUUAAGUACUGAUGACCUAGUAACACGAAGUAGUUCUGAAUCUCUUGCUUUAAGUGAAACACAUGGAAUUGUAGGUUUUGAGUUUUUAUUUGGCAUGGUUGUUUGGUAUGACAUUCUUUUUGUUGUCAACACUGUAAGCAAGAGCUUGCAAUUAGAACAUAUUGAGAUCGAUAAUGCAAUUCACCAACUGAAAGGUCUUGUGUUCGAAACCUUAUUGACGUGCUUGACUUUUGAAGAAAAUAGAGGAUUUCUGUAAAAACACAAAAGUUGCUUAUUUUAUGUUAACCAUUUCAGUAUAGGUUGCAACAAGUGAAAGACGUUUUUCGAAGUUGAAACUAAUAAAUAAUUAUUUGCGGUCUACCAUAUCACAAGAGAUUAAAUGGGUUGGCUCUAUUAUCAAUUGAGACAUCUAUGGUUGAAAGACUUGCCUAGAUGAGUUUGAUGAAUUAUUUUGUAGGAAAAAAAUGCAAGAAGGUCAAUAUUUCAUCAAUAAGCAUUUUUUAUUCUGUUUUUUUAUAAACAUUUUUUUUUUAAAUUUGAUUGUUUUAUGGAAGUUCAAUUUUUUUAUUACUCUUGUUAAAUGAUUUUGAAUUAUAUAUAUAAGAUGGUUAAUUUGCAGAAUAUGCAUAUUGAUCAAAGAAUGGUGAAAGUAACCAUUGUAUCACUUACACGGUAGGAUGUGACAUUUGACAAAAAAAUCAGACAUGUUUAACUUUUUUCAUCAAUGAUUAUGAUCUUCAUGCAUUAAAAUAAGAUGGCACAAGUUUCUGUCUUCUAAAUUUUAACAUAAACAUUCUAUUUAGAAAGGGUAAAAUAGAAUAGUAUAUUAAAUAAUAAUAAUAAAAUAAGUAUGUUACAGUUAUAGCAUAUGAAUAAAUAUGUGGAGGAAGGAAGAAAAAAAGAAGAGCCCGGAGGAGUAGGGAAAAAGAGAAGAAGAAAGAAGAGGGAGGAGGAGGGAGGAAUAAGAGGAGGCAAGAGGGUGGAGGAGGAGAGAGGCAAGCGUAUGAGAGAGAGAGAGGAGGAUGAGAAAGACGGACGAAAAAAGAGAGGGAGGAAGAUGAGUAGGGGAGGAGGAGGAUGAAGAGAGGGAAGAGGGAUGGGGAGGAAGAAGAGGAGGAGAAAAGAAACUAGAAAAGGAGGGAGGAAGAGAGAGAGGAUAAAGAGAUAAUGUACUAUACUGCUUCUAUAAAAUUGAAUAGUUAAUGCAUAAUACAUACAAUAUAUCCAAAAUAAAUGUGUAUUAGUUUUAGAGAAG